This 482-nucleotide ribosomal RNA is filed under the name uncultured bacterium. Its description in RNAcentral is "partial 16S ribosomal RNA". It matches the Rfam family "Bacterial small subunit ribosomal RNA", at positions 28 to 523 of the family's 1533-position model. The record is from RNAcentral.
GACGAACGCUGGCGGCGUGCUUAACACAUGCAAGUCGAACGGUGAGGUAGAGCCUGCUCUAUGGAUCAGUGGCGAACGGGUGAGUAACACGUGGGCAACCUGCCCCAGACUCUGGGAUAACUCCUCGAAAGAGGGGCUAAUACCGGAUAUUUGCAUUGCAAGACAUCUUGUGAUGCAGAAAGAAUUUCGGUCUGGGAUGGGCCCGCGGCCUAUCAGCUUGUUGGUGAGGUAACGGCUCACCAAGGCGACGACGGGUAGCCGGCCUGAGAGGGGGACCGGCCACACUGGGACUGAGACACGGCCCAGACUCCUACGGGAGGCAGCAGUGGGGAAUAUUGGGCAAUGGGCGCAAGCCUGACCCAGCAACGCCGCGUGAGGGAUGAAGGUCCUCGGAUUGUAAACCUCUUUCAGCAGGGACGAAGCGAAAGUGACGGUACCUGCAGAAGAAGCACCGGCUAACUACGUGCCAGCCGCCGCCGUAA